Molecule: long non-coding RNA, 1938 nt
Organism: Scylla paramamosain (green mud crab)
Lineage: Eukaryota; Metazoa; Arthropoda; Malacostraca; Decapoda; Portunidae
Exons: 3
Source: RefSeq, a predicted model, not a curated record
AAGAAGAUAUCGGCGCGGCGCAAUGUAAACAAACAAACAGCUGGCGGGGCAUGGCGUCUGCUGUGGCGGUGGAGGCUGAGUAGUGAAGGAAAGAGGCAGUGGAAAAGGUAACAGAGGAGAGGAGUCGGUGACCUGAGGAACGUAUCAAAGCGAGACAGAUAACGAGAGGAGGGAUAGCUGUGGCCCCAGACGGAAGAAGACCUAAAAGAACAUCUAACGGAUACCCGAGUUUAAGCCCACAGAGAGAGAGAAGGCAGAAGAGAUCCCUUGCAAUGGAUGACAGUCUAGCACACGUGGACCCUGAGGAACGCGUCCUUCGAGUCCUGGACUACGAACUCAAGUCUCUGAAGAAGGACCGGGCAAGUAUUGCUCUACAGAGUGACUCAAAAUUUAGGCAAUGGCUAAAAUGUGUUCUUUUUAUCAUUUUCAGGAAUACCUCCAUGUUCCCUUUUAACAGUGCAAGUUCAAUUUUACCACAUUCACUUAUGAUGCUUUACUGAUAUGUCCAGACUUUUGGGUCACCCUGUAUUUGUGCCUCUGCUAACUACAAGACACAAGAAGGAACACUACAUCAAGACAACACAGUAUUGCCUGAUGUGGGAAGUCCUAAAGAUUAUUAGUUAAGCCUCCGCAGGUUUGCCUAUGAAGUCCAUCAAGCGUACUCAAAUCUACACUUCUUUUGCAAUCACCCCACUAUCCUUUCAAAAUACCACCACCACCUCAGUCUGUCUCAGUCUAUCUCUUCCCACCAGUACGCUAUUGUAAUGCCCUCAAUUAUCAUCCUCUUCCUCAGUUUACCAUUUGUGAUUUUAAUUUUUUUUUUUCAGUGGUGCAACAGACAUCCAUUAAAUUAUCUCUGAUUUAGCUCAGCAACAUUACAUAGUUUCACACAAUCCAUUUACCACAUACUGUCAAAUUUGUUGCAGUGAACACAAAAUAUAUUACUUAAUCUUGUGCAAGUAAUAAGAAACUAAUCUUCUUUCCUUACCUCACAGAAAGUGUAUCUCCAGCAACCCAACAGUAACUUGUACUUCCUGUGCACCCGAGUGGAUGCCCUGAGCUACCUGGAGCGAGAGAGGGAAAGGCUUGUCAUCAAGAAGAAAGUAGCAAAAAAACCUUCAUUAUGACCUUCAAACUGAGGCACCUUAAUAUUCUCAUUUCCCACAUGGACUCUCCUGGGAAAUUGUUAUUGCAUCAUGACAGUCCUAGAGCAUGCUGCAGGAGCGGGGAGGGCAGGCACACACCAAUACAGCACAUCUUGGCCUCUGUCGCCAAGACCACCACACACAUCUAAUCUCAAGUGGUGACAUGUCAAAAGUAUUUCAGCUUAAGAUUUUUCUGAAUCCCAUAAUUUUUUACUAAGUUUACAAUUGUUCUGUAUAUCUUUUUAAUUUCAAAAUUAGUGUAUAGACAUAAUUGUAAUUUUUUCUUUGGUACAAAGUUUUCAGUGGUGAUGCAUCACUCAUGUAGGCUGAGCUUGAGUUAGGUAUUAUGUACCUUUGUGAACCUGUGAUGGCUAUGAACACCAGCUGUAUUCAUAUGCCAACAGUGGUGGUGGCUGGUCUCUUAUAUAAGUAAGUCUUGGUGUCUUCUAUCAUACUAGAGGCUCUGUAUUCUCCCUCUGCUUAAGGAUGAUGCUGGGUUGGUGACGCAUGACUCAUCAAUGAGCACUAUUUGCUACUGAUGUAUGGUUCCUAAGGCAGAAAUGGUAUCUAUGAUCAUUAUCACCCUAAUAUGUUUCCCAGCCAGACUGUUUCUAAGCAGCUGACUGGUGCCUGUGAAGCCCUUUCACACUGUUUCUAGGAACAGAUGCUAGACACAACAUUAAACCAAUAAAUGAUGUGAGGCGAGAGGAUAACAUCUAAAGUGUUUGGGACUGGAAAGGAUCAACUGCCACCAUUAUAUUCUGUUCUCUUCUCUGAAAAAAUGUCAUAAAAG